AUUCCAGCUCCAAUAGCGUAUAUUAAAGUUGUUGCAGUUAAAAAGCUCGUAGUUGGAUUUCUGGUAGGAGCGACCGUGCCGAACUUGAUUGUUCGUGUAUUGUGUUGUCUUCAGCCAUCCUCGUGGAGAACUUUUCUAACAUUAACUUGUUGGGAUUGGGACCCGCGUCGUUUACUGUGAAAAAAUUAGAGUGUUUAAAGCAGGCAUUAGCUUGAAUACAUUAGCAUGGAAUAAUAAGAUAGGACUUUGGUACUAUUUUGUUGGUUUGCAUACCAAAUUAAUGAUCAACAGGAACAGUUUGAGGACAUUCGUAUGAACAUGUCAGAGGUGAAGUUCUUGGAUUUUGAUCAGACGAACUACUGCGAAAGCAUUUAUCAAGGAUGUUUUCAUUG
RNAcentral lists this ribosomal RNA (392 nucleotides) under Aplanochytrium sp. RNAcentral describes it as "partial small subunit ribosomal RNA". It matches the Rfam family "Eukaryotic small subunit ribosomal RNA", at positions 582 to 975 of the family's 1831-position model. Lineage: Eukaryota; Bigyra; Thraustochytrida; Thraustochytriidae. The record is from RNAcentral.